UUAUUUUAACAUUUGUAGUAAAAUUUAUGUGAAGCAUUAAGGAAUAUUGUAAGUGCCAAAAAAUGAUAAAAUUACAUAUUCAAUUAAGGCAUUUGGGUUGAUCUGGUGGCAUUGACUUGAGACCUGAGAGUGUGCUCCUCCUUAAGGUCUCACGUUCCAUUCUCUCGGGUGCCAAUUUGAAUGAGCCAAUUUAGCUUAAAAUAAAAUAAAAUUAAAGCAUUUCUUAACUUAUUUUGCAAGUAAUUCAUAUCAAAUUCCCCAUUAUUAUGUAAAUAGUUGUUUUAUUAGUAAAAUGAUCAACUUAUGCUAUUUCUAUCUAAUUCCUACACUUUUUGUAGGUAAAUUUGGAUUUAAUGGAUUGUGGAAUGAAGCAAACUGUCAAAUAUUGCAGAAAAUCAAUAUCGCUUAGCGAGCUCCCAGCGAGAAAUUGGCAGGAAGUUCAGGCCUUCAACAUGCUGUAGCGAGAUCAGGCAGUUAGUGGUCCACGUGUCAGCAACCCUAUCGGUGAUGAAAGGGUUUCUCGCUAAGCGAGACUGUAAUUUCAAGACUUGUAUAAAUAGCCAUCGGUUGCUGAAAAAUAGAGACCGUUCCAUUCUAAGACACAAAACUCGUUCAGGAGAGACCUAAGAGGCAGAUCCAAGGGGAUUUGAAGGUGAAUACACAACAAUAGUCGACGAAUCAUCAUUGAUAUGCUUGUUCAUAUCUUUUCUUCUUAAUCUUAUGUAAAGCUAUCAUGAAAAUGAAUAUUUAAUCUGUCUUUUGUUGGGAUUAGGUGUAAAUUACUCUACUAAUAUGUGUUUUUAUUGAUCAUGGUGUUAUAUAUGGUUUUAGUUAUUCAUUAA
RNAcentral lists this long non-coding RNA (842 nucleotides) under Trifolium pratense (red clover). Its description in RNAcentral is "long non-coding RNA (TPRA_LNC000289)". The record is from RNAcentral. Lineage: Eukaryota; Viridiplantae; Streptophyta; Magnoliopsida; Fabales; Fabaceae.